UGUAUGACCGUCUCCAUGACAUGUGAAACAUUAAGAAAUUUUGCUUGGAUAUUUAAACUUUAAAAGAGAAUUUUUAAUGUUAUAAUUUUUUGCUAGUAUAUAAAAAAAUUAAAAAGAUAUGAAUCCUCUUUGGGCUGUCAUUUGGUUUCUCGUCCUUUGGUUCAUUGGCUGGCCAGUUGGUUUCUUUUGUGCAUAUUGGUAUGUCUGCUGUCUUCCCUUCGAAGUUUGCAUAGAUCCUUUGAAACAGCUAAAUGAGUUUCUCUUCAAAGGUGUGAAGCUUCCCUAUGAAUGCGCUGUACGUAUGAAAGAAGGUAAAGCUGGAUGGUGAUGGUCUUACAUCAAGUUGUAGCACAGCACUUUUGACAUAACACUUCAUGUAAAAUAAACACGAAAGAUAUAAAUAAAACAUGUUUUUAACACAA
Hydractinia symbiolongicarpus is the source of this 422-nucleotide long non-coding RNA. RefSeq lists it as uncharacterized. The record is from RefSeq and is a predicted model, not a curated record. Lineage: Eukaryota; Metazoa; Cnidaria; Hydrozoa; Anthoathecata; Hydractiniidae. The transcript is spliced from 2 exons.